UACGAAGGGUGCAAGCGUUACUCGGAAUCACUGGGCGUAAAGGGAGCGUAGGCGGGUUCUUAAGUAAGGUGUUUAAUCCCGGGGCCCAACCCCGGACCGGCACUUUAAACUGGGAAUCUUGAAUAGUGGAGAGGUCGGUGGAAUUCCCGGUGGAGUGGUGAAAUGCGUAGAUAUCGGGAGGAACACCAGUGGCGAAGGCGGCCGACUGGGCUGUCCCUGACACUGGAGGUGCGAAAGCGUGGGGAGCGAACCGG
This 254-nucleotide ribosomal RNA is filed under the name uncultured bacterium. RNAcentral describes it as "partial 16S ribosomal RNA". It matches the Rfam family "Bacterial small subunit ribosomal RNA", at positions 524 to 776 of the family's 1533-position model. The record is from RNAcentral.